Molecule: ribosomal RNA, 119 nt
Organism: Pteropus vampyrus (large flying fox)
Lineage: Eukaryota; Metazoa; Chordata; Mammalia; Chiroptera; Pteropodidae
Source: Ensembl
GUCUACGGUCAUGCCACUCUGAACAAGCCCGAUCCUGUCUGAUCUCGGAAGCUAAGCAGGGUCGGGCCUGGUUAGUACUUGAAUGGGAGACCACCUUGGAAGACCAGGAACUGUAUGUG